This 241-nucleotide long non-coding RNA is filed under the name Apteryx owenii (little spotted kiwi). RNAcentral's name for it is "lncRNA (ENSAOWG00000006527.1)". The record is from RNAcentral. Lineage: Eukaryota; Metazoa; Chordata; Aves; Apterygiformes; Apterygidae.
UUCCAUGUAAAAAGAGUCCCUGAGAGAGAGCGUGGGAGCUCUGAGGCUGUUACUGAUGUGCCGCUGACAAUGCAGAGAACAAGAUGAUGACAUCAUAAAACAGAAAACUGAAGUGACUAAAAUUCCUCACUUUCUGGAUGAAAGUACUUUGUUCCGGUGUAGUAGACCUUGCUGGGAAGUACAGGAAUUGGAACCUAGCUCCAUACUAACCGCACCGAUUCUGCAGUGGACUAAGAAAUAG